Molecule: ribosomal RNA, 253 nt
Filed under: uncultured bacterium
Lineage: Bacteria
Description: partial 16S ribosomal RNA
Rfam family: Bacterial small subunit ribosomal RNA
Source: RNAcentral
UACGAAGGGGGCUAGCGUUGCUCGGAAUCACUGGGCGUAAAGCGCACGUAGGCGGCUUUCUAAGUCAGGGGUGAAAUCCAGGAGCUCAACUCCAGAACUGCCUUUGAUACUGGAGAGCUUGAGUCCGGGAGAGGUGAGUGGAACUCCGAGUGUAGAGGUGAAAUUCGUAGAUAUUCGGAAGAACACCAGUGGCGAAGGCGGCUCACUGGCCCGGUACUGACGCUGAGGUGCGAAAGCGUGGGGAGCAAACAGG